UGGGGAAUAUUGGACAAUGGGGGCAACCCUGAUCCAGCCAUGCCGCGUGUGUGAAGAAGGCCUUUUGGUUGUAAAGCACUUUAAGCAGGGAGGAGAGGCUAAUGGUUAAUACCCAUUAGAUUAGACGUUACCUGCAGAAUAAGCACCGGCUAACUCUGUGCCAGCAGCCGCGGUAAUACAGAGGGUGCGAGCGUUAAUCGGAAUUACUGGGCGUAAAGCGAGUGUAGGUGGCUCAUUAAGUCACAUGUGAAAUCCCCGGGCUUAACCUGGGAACUGCAUGUGAUACUGGUGGUGCUAGAAUAUGUGAGAGGGAAGUAGAAUUCCCAGGUGUAGCGGUGAAAUGCGUAGAGAUCUGGAGGAAUACCGAUGGCGAAGGCAGCUUCCUGGCAUAAUAUUGACACUGAGAUUCGAAAGCGUGGGUAGCAAAACAGGAUUAGAUACCCUGGUAGUCCACGCCGUAAACGAUGUCUACUAGCCGUUGGGGUCCUUGAGACUUUAGUGGCGCAGUUAACGCGAUAAGUAGACCGCCUGGGGAG
This 536-nucleotide ribosomal RNA is filed under the name uncultured bacterium. Its description in RNAcentral is "partial 16S ribosomal RNA". It matches the Rfam family "Bacterial small subunit ribosomal RNA", at positions 355 to 880 of the family's 1533-position model. The record is from RNAcentral.